RNAcentral lists this transfer RNA (97 nucleotides) under bacterium HR11. RNAcentral describes it as "tRNA-Sec". It matches the Rfam family "Selenocysteine transfer RNA". The record is from RNAcentral.
GGAGGCAGCCCGGGCCUGGUGGCCCGCCCGGACUUCAAAUCCGGUGGCCCGUCGUGAGGACGGCGGGCGGUGGGUUCAAUUCCCUCCUGCCUCCGCC